This 497-nucleotide ribosomal RNA is filed under the name uncultured bacterium. RNAcentral's name for it is "partial 16S ribosomal RNA". It matches the Rfam family "Bacterial small subunit ribosomal RNA", at positions 28 to 507 of the family's 1533-position model. The record is from RNAcentral.
GAUGAACGCUGGCGGCGUGCCUAAUACAUGCAAGUCGAGCGAACGGACGAGAAGCUUGCUUCUCUGAUGUUAGCGGCGGACGGGUGAGUAACACGUGGAUAACCUACCUAUAAGACUGGGAUAACUUCGGGAAACCGGAGCUAAUACCGGAUAAUAUUUUGAACCGCAUGGUUCAAAAGUGAAAGACGGUCUUGCUGUCACUUAUAGAUGGAUCCGCGCUGCAUCAGCUAGUUGGUAAGGUAACGGCUUACCAAGGCAACGAUGCAUAGCCGACCUGAGAGGGUGAUCGGCCACACUGGAACUGAGACACGGUCCAGACUCCUACGGGAGGCAGCAGUAGGGAAUCUUCCGCAAUGGGCGAAAGCCUGACGGAGCAACGCCGCGUGAGUGAUGAAGGUCUUCGGAUCGUAAAACUCUGUUAUUAGGGAAGAACAUAUGUGUAAGUAACUGUGCGCAUCUUGACGGUACCUAAUCAGAAAGCCACGGCUAACUACGUG